Long non-coding RNA from Magnolia sinica, 324 nucleotides. RefSeq lists it as uncharacterized. The transcript has 3 exons. The record is from RefSeq and is a predicted model, not a curated record. Lineage: Eukaryota; Viridiplantae; Streptophyta; Magnoliopsida; Magnoliales; Magnoliaceae.
GGAAAAGAUACAUUCGGCCCGAUACGCGUCCCAUCCGACAAGAAUACCCAUAUGGUGGUGAUAGGAUUCAAGGCUAGUUUGGUUUAUUAGGGCUUCUUUAGGCCUAUACUAUGUACACGUAAUAGUUAUGAGCAUUAUGAUGAUUUGGAAUAAAAUUUCUUAGGAAUUGUUGGGCGCAUUUUGGGAUAAGGUAUAUGUUUUGUUUUGUUCCUUUUACAAUUCUCCAUAACAAGUUUUGCUGGUAUUAAGCUUUUCAUUUGUGUAUUUUCAGCUAUCUUUGGAUGAGGCAAUGGAGAUUGCAUCAUUGAAGAAUGCGACACUAGA